Molecule: ribosomal RNA, 449 nt
Filed under: uncultured bacterium
Lineage: Bacteria
Description: partial 16S ribosomal RNA
Rfam family: Bacterial small subunit ribosomal RNA
Source: RNAcentral
AGCGAACGCUGGCGGCAGGCCUAUCACAUGCAAGUCGAGCGCCGUAGCAAUACGGAGCGGCAGACGGGAGAGUAACACGUGGGAACGUGCCCUUUGGUUCGGAAUAACUCAGGGAAACUUGAGCUAAUACCGGAUAAGCCCUUACGGGGAAAGAUUUGUUGCCAUUGGAGCGGCCCGCGUCGGAUUAGCUAGUUGGUGAGGUAAUGGCUCACCAAGGCGACGAUCCGUAGCUGGUCUGAGAGGAUGACCAGCCUCACUGGGACUGAGACACGGCCCAGACUCCUACGGGAGGCAGCAGUGGGGAAUAUUGGACAAUGGGCGCAAGCCUGAUCCAGCCAUGCCGCGUGGAUGAUGAAGGCCCUAGGGUUGUAAAGUCCUUUUAACGGGGAAGAUAAUGACGGUACCCGUAGAAUAAGCCCCGGCUAACUUCGUGCCAGCCGCCGCCGUAA